CGCGGGAUGGAGCAGUCCGGUAGCUCGUUGGGCUCAUAACCCAAAGGUCGCAGGUUCGAAUCCUGCUCCCGCUACAA
RNAcentral lists this transfer RNA (77 nucleotides) under Fidelibacterota bacterium CG1_02_48_14. Its description in RNAcentral is "Candidatus Marinimicrobia bacterium CG1_02_48_14 tRNA-Met". It matches the Rfam family "tRNA". From Rfam's summary of the family: Transfer RNA (tRNA) molecules are approximately 80 nucleotides in length. Their secondary structure includes four short double-helical elements and three loops (D, anti-codon, and T loops). Further hydrogen bonds mediate the characteristic L-shaped molecular structure. tRNAs have two regions of fundamental functional importance: the anti-codon, which is responsible for specific mRNA codon recognition, and the 3' end, to which the tRNAs corresponding amino acid is attached (by aminoacyl-tRNA synthetases). tRNAs cope with the degeneracy of the genetic code in two manners: having more than one tRNA (with a specific anti-codon) for a particular amino acid; and 'wobble' base-pairing, i.e. permitting non-standard base-pairing at the 3rd anti-codon position. Lineage: Bacteria; Pseudomonadati; Fidelibacterota. The record is from RNAcentral. RNAcentral also lists the same sequence under 2 other names.